UGCAAGUCGAACGGUGAAGCCCAGCUUGCUGGGUGGAUCAGUGGCGAACGGGUGAGUAACACGUGAGCAACCUGCCCCUGACUCUGGGAUAAGCGCUGGAAACGGCGUCUAAUACUGGAUAUGUGACGUGACCGCAUGGUCUGCGUUUGGAAAGAUUUUUCGGUUGGGGAUGGGCUCGCGGCCUAUCAGCUUGUUGGUGAGGUAAUGGCUCACCAAGGCGUCGACGGGUAGCCGGCCUGAGAGGGUGACCGGCCACACUGGGACUGAGACACGGCCCAGACUCCUACGGGAGGCAGCAGUGGGGAAUAUUGCACAAUGGGCGCAAGCCUGAUGCAGCAACGCCGCGUGAGGGAUGACGGCCUUCGGGUUGUAAACCUCUUUUAGCAGGGAAGAAGCGAAAGUGACGGUACCUGCAGAAAAAGCGCCGGCUAACUACGUGCCAGCAGCCGCGGUAAUACGUAGGGCGCAAGCGUUAUCCGGAAUUAUUGGGCGUAAAGAGCUCGUAGGCGGUUUGUCGCGUCUGCUGUGAAAUCCCGAGGCUCAACCUCGGGCCUGCAGUGGGUACGGGCAGACUAGAGUGCGGUAGGGGAGAUUGGAAUUCCUGGUGUAGCGGUGGAAUGCGCAGAUAUCAGGAGGAACACCGAUGGCGAAGGCAGAUCUCUGGGCCGUAACUGACGCUGAGGAGCGAAAGGGUGGGGAGCAAACAGGCUUAGAUACCCUGGUAGUCCACCCCGUAAACGUUGGGAACUAGUUGUGGGGUCCAUUCCACGGAUUCCGUGACGCAGCUAACGCAUUAAGUUCCCCGCCUGGGGAGUACGGCCGCAAGGCUAAAACUCAAAGGAAUUGACGGGGACCCGCACAAGCGGCGGAGCAUGCGGAUUAAUUCGAUGCAACGCGAAGAACCUUACCAAGGCUUGACAUAUACGAGAACGGGCCAGAAAUGGUCAACUCUUUGGACACUCGUAAACAGGUGGUGCAUGGUUGUCGUCAGCUCGUGUCGUGAGAUGUUGGGUUAAGUCCCGCAACGAGCGCAACCCUCGUUCUAUGUUGCCAGCACGUAAUGGUGGGAACUCAUGGGAUACUGCCGGGGUCAACUCGGAGGAAGGUGGGGAUGACGUCAAAUCAUCAUGCCCCUUAUGUCUUGGGCUUCACGCAUGCUACAAUGGCCGGUACAAAGGGCUGCAAUACCGCGAGGUGGAGCGAAUCCCAAAAAGCCGGUCCCAGUUCGGAUUGAGGUCUGCAACUCGACCUCAUGAAGUCGGAGUCGCUAGUAAUCGCAGAUCAGCAACGCUGCGGUGAAUACGUUCCCGGGUCUUGUACACACCGCCCGUCAAGUCAUGAAAGUCGGUAACACCUGAAGCCGGUGGCCUAACCCUUGUGGAGGGAGCCGUCGAA
This 1395-nucleotide ribosomal RNA is filed under the name Microbacterium sp. Its description in RNAcentral is "bacterial SSU rRNA". It matches the Rfam family "Bacterial small subunit ribosomal RNA". Lineage: Bacteria; Bacillati; Actinomycetota; Actinomycetes; Micrococcales; Microbacteriaceae. The record is from RNAcentral. RNAcentral also lists the same sequence under 1 other name.